This 330-nucleotide ribosomal RNA is filed under the name uncultured Actinomycetes bacterium. RNAcentral's name for it is "bacterial SSU rRNA". It matches the Rfam family "Bacterial small subunit ribosomal RNA", at positions 28 to 351 of the family's 1533-position model. The record is from RNAcentral. Lineage: Bacteria; Bacillati; Actinomycetota; Actinomycetes.
GACGAACGCUGGCGGCGUGCCUAACACAUGCAAGUCGAGCGGGGUCCAUCCGGUGGCAACACCGGGGAAGACCUAGCGGCGAACGGGUGAGUAACACGUGAGAAACCUGCCCCGAAAUCUGGGAUAACCCGGGGAAACUCGGACUAAUACCGGAUGCCCUUCACAGAUCGCAUGGUCCGUGAAGGAAAGAAUUUCGUUUCGGGAGGGUCUCGCGGCCUAUCAGCUAGUUGGUGGGGUAACGGCCCACCAAGGCAUCGACGGGUAGCUGGUCUGAGAGGACGAUCAGCCACACUGGGACUGAGACACGGCCCAGACUCCUACGGGUGGCAG